RNAcentral lists this long non-coding RNA (2007 nucleotides) under Salmo salar (Atlantic salmon). Its description in RNAcentral is "lncRNA (ENSSSAG00000120779.1)". The record is from RNAcentral. Lineage: Eukaryota; Metazoa; Chordata; Actinopteri; Salmoniformes; Salmonidae.
CGCUGUUGCACUGUGGUAGUAGGAGAAACAGUGAGUUCAGAAUAAAGACGUAAACUUGUGUCCUUUUACAAUUACAGGCCACCACAGCUACAGACUGAGGCCGGUAACACUGAGAUGGAUAACAAUAUCCCAAUACCAUCUGCUCUCGCCAGUUUUAGCCCCAGGCAGCACCAUCUUCAAAUGAGCCUUUACGUCGGCCUGUCUCUGAAGACGCCCCCUGAGGUACUGGGGUAGAGUUGGGGGGGAACCAGUUUGUCUACGCUGUGAUCAGGACAACACCACCAAGACUGUCCUGUUCUGGUACCAGAUGAGAAGAAGUUCCUUCCAGUUGGUACUGUUCUCCUUUGGCCAGGCGGUGGAUGUAGAGGCUGAACACGAGAGGAAUCUCUCUGACUCUGUUUGUGGACAAGACUCAGCUCUCUCACAACGCGGAGUACUACUGCGCCAUACAGGGUACACAGUGAGCAGUCUGGAUCUGCGUCCCUGACAACAACAAAAAAUGACCUCAAAGCUCAGGAGGAGUGGUGGGGGGGCUGAGAAGGAGGCGGGGUACGUGUGUGUGUGUGUGUGUGUGUGUGUGUGUGUGUGUGUGUGUGUGUGUGUGUGUGUGUGUGUGUGUGUGUGUGUGCGUGCGCGUGCGCGUGCGUGCAUGGUGAGUGUUGAGACAGAAUGAAUGGCUGUUGUAUCCUCUAGGGGGCUCUCAGAUACCAGAACUAAACUACAGCCCUCCUGAGAUGCUGACCUGUUGCACCCUCUACAACCACUGUGAUUAUUAUUAUUUGACCCUGCUGGUCAUCUAUGAACGUUUGAACAUCUUGGCCAUGUUCUGUUAUAAUCUCCAACCUGCAAAGCCAGAAGAGGACUGGCCACCCCUCAUAGCCUGGUUCCUCUCUAGGUUUCUUCCUAGGUUCCUGCCUUUCUGGAUAAUUUUUUCCUAGCCACUGUGCUUCUACAUCUGCAUUGCUUGCUGUUUGGGGUUUUGAUGUAAAAAAAAGGGCUUUAUAAAAACAUUUGAUUGAUUGACAACAUAUACAACUCUCCCAGUCAGACAACAUGGUUGCUGUGGGCCUUCUCCUGCUGCUGCCACUAGAAGUAGAGGGGGAAGACGGAAUGCUGAAAUAGCAGUGGGCACGAUGCAAGGGUACAGGUGUCGUAUCUUAACUCGAUAACCGUUUUCUCACAGAGAAUUGUCCUGCUGCAUCAGGUAAGCACAUACUCAGCAGCCGUCUGAUUCCCCUGCUGUAGCUGAAGCAGACGCUCACCUCCAUCUCUGACCUCCGCGGGAUGAUCAAAAAUACAUUUAAACAGAACCAUGAACCCCUCAUAAGAAUCUAGCUCCUCCUCUCCUCUCUCCCAGACGGCCGUAGCCCAUUCCAACGCCAUAACCGUGGCAACCUUAGACCUCUCGGUGGUGGGGGCUCCCAAUUGGUUGAAAAAUAGAGGACGCAGUGAAGGAGGAAGCCACAGCAUUUGGAUGGUGUCCAGUCAUAUAUUACUCCGGGAGGGAUAGACCGGCAUCGCUAACUUGAGCGGGUUGCUGAACGGGCUGGUGUUCUAACUCAUUGGGUAGACUGGCUCUAGAAUAUCCUCCGCUGUUAGGAAGUUGUAGACUGUGGAGAACAUCUUCCAUGGCCGUCCACAGUUGAGCCAGCUGAUCAUGGUGUUGAUGAAGAAAGUGGGAGAUGUCCAGUUGACCUGCUGCUUCCAUAUUUUGAGUUGGUAUUCUGUAAUGAUGAGGCGGUGAGUCGGAAGCACGUGAAACGUUUUAAUAAAAUAACAAAACCAAGAACACGACAAUAACAUAAGGAAAUAUGCCAAUACACAAGAACAAUACCAACUGGUGAGUGAACAUAGGAGAGUGACAUAUAAAGGGGAGGAAAUGAUGAAGGUAAUGGAGUCCAGGUGUGAAUCAUAAUGAUUCACAGGUGCGCGUAAUGAUAAAAUCCCAGGACCGGUGGUUAGCACUCUGGCAACGUCGUAUGCCGGAGGGGAGGAGCAAGAGCAGAC